Molecule: long non-coding RNA, 551 nt
Filed under: Haliotis rubra (blacklip abalone)
Lineage: Eukaryota; Metazoa; Mollusca; Gastropoda; Lepetellida; Haliotidae
Description: uncharacterized LOC124283443, transcript variant X1
Source: RNAcentral
AUUAUUUGUUGGAAUUUUAGUCCUGCCAGGCUGCCAUAACUUUAGUGGUGAGCGGUGCAUCGUGGUCUCUGUGCAGCUCGUGCAGCUCGUGCAGAGGUGGCAGGUCACGUGACCUAGAGGCGUCAGUGCAACGCCAAGAUACAACCGUCUGUCACAAGACCACCAAAAUGUGUCCCACAUCUGUUACAGAUCUCCCUCUCUCCAUCUACACAACAGCCAUGAAGACGUCGGAGUCAGGACACGUGACUUGCAGCUGAAUAAGAUCUACCUCUCCUCAUCUACACACGGACAGCCAUCAAGACGUCGGAGUAAUGACACCUGAUAUGCAUCUGAAUCAGGAAGACAAGGGACUGGAGGAAGUCAAGUAUCACAUCAAAGGCUUGAUGUUGUUUAUCAUCAAUGUUUUUCAGGAAGUCUUCUUUGAGCCAAGUUCAGUAACAAGAACAACGAUGGAUUAUUUUUGGGUUUGGAUUUUCAAGAAUCAAGAGUAAAAAUCUGGAUUACAUUACUUUGUACAAACAGACUGUUAACUCAUGACAAAUUUCUGUUUU